UCCGUUGGUGGAUAAUUAAGUCAGAGGUGAAAUCCUGCAGCUCAACUGUAGAAUUGCCUUUGAUACUGGUUAUCUUGAAUUAUUGUGAAGUGGUUAGAAUAUGUAGUGUAGCGGUGAAAUGCAUAGAUAUUACAUAGAAUACCAAUUGCGAAGGCAGAUCACUAACAAUAUAUUGACACUGAUGGACGAAAGCGUGGGGAGCGAACAGGAUUAGAUACCCUGGUAGUCC
This 229-nucleotide ribosomal RNA is filed under the name uncultured bacterium. RNAcentral's name for it is "partial 16S ribosomal RNA". It matches the Rfam family "Bacterial small subunit ribosomal RNA", at positions 568 to 796 of the family's 1533-position model. The record is from RNAcentral.